This 301-nucleotide ribosomal RNA is filed under the name uncultured bacterium. RNAcentral's name for it is "partial 16S ribosomal RNA". It matches the Rfam family "Archaeal small subunit ribosomal RNA", at positions 459 to 759 of the family's 1478-position model. The record is from RNAcentral.
CAGUAGCCGCGGUAAUACCAGCAGCCCAAGUGGUGGUCGCGAUUAUUGGGCCUAAAGCGCUCGUAGCCGGGCCGGUAAGUCCCUUGUGAAAUCGGACGGCCUAACCGUUCGGCGUGCAAGGGAUACUGUCGGUCUUGAGGCCGGGAGACGUCCGAGGUACUCCGGGGGUAGCGGUGAAAUGUUCUGAUCCUCGGGGGACCACCGGUGGCGAAGGCGUUCGACGAGAACGGGCCUGACGGUGAGGGGCGAAGGCUAGGGGAGCAAACGGGAUUAGAUACCCCGGUAGUCCCUGUCUCUUAUA